Molecule: non-coding RNA, 82 nt
Organism: Podarcis lilfordi (Lilford's wall lizard)
Lineage: Eukaryota; Metazoa; Chordata; Lepidosauria; Squamata; Lacertidae
Source: the annotation of a GenBank genome assembly
GCAGAAUAGAUAGCUCAGUUGGUUAGAGUGCAGUGCUGAUGUGCCGAGGUUGCAGGUUCGAUCCCUGUAUGGUACAGCUGCA